GCCUGCUUAGCAUAUUAAGUGUUUUUAUUUUAAGCGUAAAAGGUUAUGUUUGGCU
This 55-nucleotide transfer RNA is filed under the name Rhigonema thysanophora. Its description in RNAcentral is "tRNA-Leu". Lineage: Eukaryota; Metazoa; Nematoda; Chromadorea; Rhabditida; Rhigonematidae. The record is from RNAcentral.